CCUACGGGAGGCAGCAGUGGGGAAUAUUGCACAAUGGGGGAAACCCUGAUGCAGCGACGCCGCGUGAGUGUAGAAGUAUUUCGGUAUGUAAAGCUCUUUCAUCCGGGAAGAAAAUGACGGUACCUGAUUACGAAGCCCCGUCUAACUCCGUGCCAGCCGCCGCGGUACUACGUAGGGGGCAGGCGUUAUCCGGAUGUACUGGGUGUAAAGGGAGCGUAGACGGAAGCACAGGUCUGGAGUGAAAUGCCGGGGCGUAACGGCGGAACUGCUUUGGAAACUGUGCAGCUAGAGUGCAGGCGAGGUAAGUGGAAUUCCUAGUGUAGCGGUGAAAUGCGUAGAUAUUAGGAAGAACACCAGUUGCGAAGGCAGCUUACGGAACUGUAACUGACGUUGAGGCUCGAAAGCGUGGGGAGCAAACAGGAUUAGAUACCCCAGUAGUC
RNAcentral lists this ribosomal RNA (440 nucleotides) under uncultured bacterium. Its description in RNAcentral is "partial 16S ribosomal RNA". It matches the Rfam family "Bacterial small subunit ribosomal RNA", at positions 338 to 795 of the family's 1533-position model. The record is from RNAcentral.